This is an RNA transcript of Phyllopteryx taeniolatus (common seadragon), 9364 nucleotides long. It is a transcript of the gene named double C2-like domains, delta, with no coding region annotated. The transcript has 11 exons. Lineage: Eukaryota; Metazoa; Chordata; Actinopteri; Syngnathiformes; Syngnathidae. The record is from RefSeq and is a predicted model, not a curated record.
UUCAGACAGAUUUGUGUGAGGGAAAUGGCCUUUUGCGUAUCGAGAAAAAGUUUUUGAUCUUGGAGUCCAGCUCACAAAAAUGGGAGCAAAAACAAAAGUGUUGCAUUUCUAUUUUUGUUCAGUGUAUAUGCUUUAAAAGUCUCGACAUUUCUCGCACUUAAGCCUUCAUUUCAUCUCGUCCUUUGUGUUUGAGUGCAUUCUUACAGAUGGAGGCUUGGCUUUGGUUCACUUUUAUGACUGAGGCGGAUGCUUGCUGUUAUUCUGACGCGCACAAGCACACACACACACAUAGUUGAUUGUCUUCAAGUCAGUCAAUGUGUUGAAUUUCAUUUCUGUUCCUUCAGCUGGUGAAUUCUUCUUCCCUCCUUUUUUGGGUUAGCGUGCGCUGUGGGCGUGUCACAUGUAUUUGUGCCUGUGAAGAUUGUUAUUCAUCCAAGUCAUUCGAUUUUCAGAGCGUUGAGUCGAUGGCAACCGGCGGAAUGUUCCGGUUGUCUUAGAAGACGUUUUGGCUCUCGUGCGAGCGAGCUUCGUCGGUUCACGCAACAAGGCUUAGUGCGGACAGACGAGCCUGAUGUCACACUGACCAACGUGUGUUUGUCUUACUAUUGUUUAUGCUGUUGCUGCCCCCAUGUGUGUGUGCGUGUAUCGCUCUGUGUCGGUCCGUCUGUCACACGCACACACAUGCACACGCACGCACAGCCCGUUUCUCCAGGUUUCCUGCUGAGAAUUCGAGUGUAGGGUCUGCAGUCGACUGAUGACGAUUUGACGAGUGUACGUCACAAAUAAGGGAAAGGGGAAGGGGGGUGGGGGAGCCAGAAAGAGAGAGCGAGAGCGAGAGCGAGAGAGAGGACAGACAGACUCCGAGCUGGUCUUCAUGCUCCUUCGUGUGUUUGUGAGCGAGGUAGACGUGAGAGCAGUCAAGAUGGAGUGCCGGCACAGAUGAAGACCGCCCUGGCUUCGGUAUGUAAUAUUUGCCGGCUGUUUGUCUGUCUGAUCGUCGCGGCGAAUGAGUUUGUGAGCGGCGUGCUUGCGAGUGCUCACCGAUGUCGUUGUCAUGUGCGAGCAGCGAUGUCGGGCUGUCCUUACACAAACGCAGUGGGUGAGUGGAGGUGAUGGAAAUCGGAGCUUUGAAACUUGUUGGGAUGAGUUAGGUGAGGAGUCUGCUGUUUACCAGCUAGUUGGAGCUUUGUGACUAAGAGGCUGGCAAGAGCAUCAGUAUGAUUGGUCGAAGAUGCAUUCCUGACUUGAUAUUUGCCGACCCUAAUUGUUUGCUUAUUAAUCAGCGUCAGGUUUCGUCUUCAUUUAUUUGAACGCUGGCUUAGGCAUAAAAUGGUAGCACAGUUCGAAUGAACACAUGAUAGUAAAGUGGCUCCCCACUGAAAUAAGGGAGCACAACACAGAUUUUGAUUGCAUUUGACAAAAUGAGUUGAUGAAUAUUGUUGAUUGCUUUCUUCUGAAGAGCUAAAAGAUGAAAUAAGAAGAAGAUUACACUGGGGCUGCACGAUGUGUCGUUUCAUCGUCGUCAUCGUGAUAGGCACAUCGCAAAGGUCCCGACGAUGUAGGGAGAAAAGGACUCGGGUACCCGGCGUGAACUGCGCCCAUCGUUCCACCAAUCACAAUCGUACCUUGAAUGGUGCUCACAAAACAUUCUCCCCGAAUAAGAGGCAAAAUGUUAUCCUCCUCAAAAUAAGCAAAGUUCGGCCUUUCUUUCCCAACAAUGCCGAAUAGAUAUCGGCGAGUUGCAGUCCACUCAGCGGGGGGAAGCCUCCCGACUUCCUCGGAGGCUGUUGCGUCACCACUUCCAGAUACGGGACGGCCGCCGCCGCUGCGCUUUGCCCAGUGUGAAGGGCCCUUAAGAGUGAUCAAAUCUUGAGAUUUUCGAUUUGCCACCUCAAGAAAUCGCAUCGGGACACCCCUAGUUUUAAAAAUCUUUCCCAAAAAGUGCUUUGUUUUGAAACGUGCAAAUUCUGCCUUUAUUAUGCCUCUUGUUCAACACGUCAGUUGUAGUUUAGCAGAAUUACACAGAUGCUCUGUAUUGAGUGAAAGCACUCAAUUAUUGUCUUUACACGCGAUUUGUACGCGGACUAAUGAAUCGUAUCGCAUCGAACUCAAGCUUGAACGGGCCGAUCGCCCGGUCAAAAAAUAAAACAUCGGUUUGAUGUCACUGACGCGGACGCAUCUCCGUCUUUGACCGUCUUCCGCUCUGUUAAAAGUCUCGCGAGACUUGCCGCGGUUACGUCAAAUAGCACGUAAUCGCGGACUGGGACGGGAUUCAUAACGGCCCGGCAAGUUGAAAGUCCGAAGUGCGGAAGCAAUCGGGAUUUCAAAUGAAAAAUAAUAUCGAAUCGAACCGUAUCGAAGGGAAUCGUAAGCCCGCUGAAUGGAACCCGGUCGCAUCGAUCCGUUUAAAAUGCACCGGCCUUGCGUACGUUCUGGCAUGUAUAGCGAUACAUACGGAAUCGGAGAUGCGCGGCCCGAGCCGCUUCCAGAGAUAUCUUGUCUCUGUAAAGGUGUUUGCUGUGGAAGAAGGCUUAGGAAAUGCCUCAUCAUCAACUGGCCCGAUCAUCAUUAUUUGAUUGCGGCUCUGGUGUACUACUGCACGCGUCGCCGUCAUUAUUACACCUCCGAAACCCUCACGCGCUUACGUGCCGCACUUACGCCGCCGUUUGAUCAUGCAAUGCGCUGAGGGCCAAAAGGGCGAUAUGUGUAAAUGUCGCAUUCGCAGAAAAUGGAAGGGGUUGAACUUGGCACCGCAGGGAAAUGCUGUGUUUCAUCCUCAACAUGUUGUUGGUCAAUGUUUCUAAGUUGGACUUCAUCACUUAACUCACAAACAUCAACAGUAAUUGCGAGGUUUUAUCGAAGCAUGAAGAAAUCAAAUGCUGUCAUGGCACUGAGGAAACGAGGAAACGAUGGCCUUGGAGAGGUAGACAUGCUAAUGACUCAGUUGGACUCGCUGGAGCGCUGUUUUGUAAAUAUGGCUGAGGGGAGGCCCUUGCAAGCGAGAGGACUUUCCGGUCAGUCCUACUUGGCAAUAUUCCUUCAAAGUGUGAGUCACGCUUGAAGUGGCAAACGUCCUCUUUUGGCAUUUGAGAGCUCACAGUUGCAUCGCCAGAUGAAAACCCAAACAUAUUUCUCUCUCUUUUCUUUCCUUGUGGGUGUGGAAGAUGCGCUUUGAAUUUCAAUGUCGCGUCCUACAAAGUCGCUCGCCGUUGUUUUGUUUGGGUCUUCCGGGGCCGAUCCCGGACUUCCCGUCGAUUCAUUCGUCUUCCUCUCGAUUUCAGCCCCGUUCGGCAGCCCGCAUGAACGUCUCCAAACCGCCUUCCGCCUCCCACCUCACCAUCCCUCCUUCCUCCGCUUCCACGCCCUCCUCGUCCGCCUCCUCCCCGUCGGCCCCGCCCCCUCCCUCGCCCGUUAAGAUUUCUAUGCAGGAGCACUUCGCCAUCAACGUGUGCCCGGGCCCCAUCCUCCCCAUCCCGCAAAUCUCAGAUUUCUUCCCCCGUUUCCACGACUACCCCUGCACGCCGCCGCCUCCGCGGGAGAAGAAGAUCCUGAGGGAGGAGACUUUCAACGGGGAGAUGGGCGGCGGCUUCCGAGAAGGCGAGAGGCGAGGGGACGACAGCGCCGACGGGGACGGAGUAGCUGACUCCGACGAUGACGACACCUAUUUGGGGACGUUGGAGUUCACGCUGCUCUUUGAUCAGGAGAAUAACUGUCUUCAUUGCACCAUUCACAAGGCAAAGGGACUGAAAGCCAUGGACUCCAAUGGGCUGGCUGAUCCGUACGUCAAGCUUCAUCUUCUUCCCGGGGCUAGCAAGGCGAACAAACUUCGCACAAAGACUCUGAAGAACACGCUGAACCCGGUGUGGAACGAGACUCUGGUGUAUCACGGGAUCACAGCGGCCGACAUGACCACCAAAACGCUCAGGCUGUGCGUUUGCGACAUGGACAGACUCGGCCGAAAUGAAUUCAUCGGUGAGGUGAGAGUGGCCCUGAAGAAGCUCAGAGAGGGCGACAACAAGCGUUACAAUAUGGGCUUGGAGAGAAUUGCACAGAACAAAGAAUCGAACAAUCCGGCGGUGGAGCCGGGAGCGCCGGUGGCAGAGGAGGAGCGGGGACGCAUCCUGGUGUCGCUGUGCUACAACACGGAGAAGGGCUGCCUGCUGGUCGGGAUCAUACGCUGCGCCCAUCUGGCCGCCAUGGACUCCAACGGCUACUCUGACCCCUUUGUCAAAAUCAUCUUGCAGCCAGACAUGGGGAAGAAGUCCAAGUACAAGACGUCCGUGAAGAAAAAGACUCUCAACCCUGAAUUCAAUGAGGAAUUUUCCUAUGAUGUGACUCUGGACUUGCUGGCUAAGAAAACUCUUGAGAUCUCAGUGUGGGACUACGACUUGGGAAUGAGCAACGACUUCAUAGGUGGCGUGGAGCUGGGCAUCGACGCGAGCGGACAGAGACUCCGACACUGGUUCGAGUGUCUGAAAAACAAAGGGAAAAAAGUGGAGUGCUGGCACACGCUCACACAGCAAGGAGCCCCCAGCGGCGACAAAACGGACUAAAUGGCAGCCGACACACACGAAAGAUAGCGAACACGCAAUAAGAAUCGUGUGAUCGUCACGAAGCCGAAAGCCAUCAUUUCAUCAUCCAACAGCGCCGAUUAUUUGGAAAUGAUCUUCGUUCUGACAUCGGUGAUGUUAAAAGAUCGGGUGCCGAAUGAAGUGUUUCUGCCUUGGUGCUUUCACUGUGCUGCAUACCCAUCGACGUGCAGAAAGAUUGAUGUCUGAGAGGUGAGCUUUUCAUUGUGACUUCAAGUGUGCAAUAUCAAUCAAUAAAUGAUGCAACGUUUAUUUCCUGCAGGCCAAGAUCAUGCAUUUGCAAAUGGCUGUUGUCACGUGACUGUUUACAGCUCCUCCAAUGCACCUUUGUAAAGUAUGUUCUUGGACACCCAUGACAUAAGGACUUCUUUUUAUACCACGGAAUACUGUAUCAGGUUGAUCUUCAUGCACUGAGUGGCAAAGAUGACCCGAAGUCUCGUUUGAAAGUUGGCAGUCAGCAAAAGCGUCCCCAGCUGAAUGUGUGCAUGCCGACUGCGUGCGCGCGCAUAUUGGCCGGCCUUCGUUCGGCUCUCAUUUCUCAACGCAGUCCCGACGACGGUUGGGAAUCUCUGACAUGAGGCCCGUUCGAUACGGAUCUAGAUACACGGGUAGCGAUUCGAUUCAAAAACGAUAGCUUUACAGGCGCAGUGAUUCGAUACGAUUCGCGAUUCGAUGCGGAAAAAGUGCGAUAGUUAACAUUUGCAGGUGUAGAUGCUAAUUAUUAAGAACCGUGACUUGACUUAACCCUUCCAUCCAUCCAUUUUCUUUACCGCUUCUCCUCACGCGGGUCACGGGCUGCUGGAGCCUAUCCCAGCUAUCGUCAGGCGGGAGGCGGGGUACACCCUGAACCGGUCGCCAGCCAAUCGCAGGGCACAUAGAAACAAACAACCAUUCGUGCACACAUUCACACCUAAGGGCAAUUUAGAGUCUUCAAUCAAGCUACCACGCAUGUUUUUGGGGUGUGGGAGGAAAACGGAGUGCCCGGAAAAAAGCCACGCAGGCACGGGGAGAACAUGCAAACGCCGCACAGGCGGGGCCGGGAUUUGAACCCCGGUCCCCAGAACUGCGAGGCAGAUGUGCUAAGCAGUCGUCACCGUGCCGCCUAAUAAAAAAACGAAAAAAUAAAAAAAGUAAUUACCUGAUUCAUUAAAUCAUGAAUCAAUUGGGGCUAAUCACAAUUUUUGGUUCAUUCUCACUGAUCACACCCAAGCAUGAUUACCUCCAGACCUCUUCAAUCAAUAAAUCACUGAAACAGAAUCUGUCCCGACUAAAUCCAGAUCUAAAAAAUGACACAAGCCAAACAAAUUCCAGAACAGUCGAGAAAUAAAGUCAUUGAGAUCUAUCAGUCUGGGAAGGGUUACAAAAGGCGUUUCUAAAGCUUUAGGAUUCCAGCGAACUGCAGGGAGAGCCAUUAUCCUCACAUGGUGAAAACAUGGAACAGUGGUGAACCUUCCCCAGCCUACGAAGAACUCAUCCAGGAGGCCACAAAGGAACUCAGGACAACUUCUAUUGACCACGGGGUCAGCCGUGGACCAAUGGUUAAGCUCAUCGCCCGGCACCCUGGGAUCCCCGGUUCACGACCCUGACCGGACCAUCCACCAACAUCUCCCAGACUCACGGCUGUGGUGUCCUUGAGCAAGACACCGAUACCCCAAACGGCUCCCGGGGCGCUUAAGUUUCCCCCCCCUGCUCCAGUGUGUUCCACCAACAAGUGUGUGUGUUCACUGUGAUGGGUAAAAUGCAGAGAACAAAUUUCAUGUGCUGGUCUUCAUGACAAUGGAGAUGGUUCUUCUUCUGAAGAAGAACUGCAGGCCUCCCUUGCCUCAGUUAAGGUCUGAGUUCAUGACACAACAAUAAGGAAGAGACUGCAGGCAUCCAAAAAUGGCAUCCAUGGUGAAAACCACUGAUCAGCAAAAAGAACAUAAAGGCACAACUUUUGCAAAAAAAAAAAAAAAAAAAAAAACUUUUGGGGGAUUAUUAUAUGGACUGCCGAGAUGAAAGUUGAAGGCGUGUGUCUCGUUACAUCUGGCAUAAAUGUAGCACAGCAUUUCAGAAAAAGAACAUCAUACCAACAGUCAAACAUGGUGGUGGAAGUGUGAUGGUCUUGGGGUGCCUUGUUCCUUCAGGACCUGGACAACUUGCUGCGCCUGAUGGAACCAUGAAUUCUGCUCUUUAACAGAAAAUCCUGCAGGAGAAUGUUCAGCCAUCAGUUUGUAAACUCAGGCUGAACCACACUUGGGUUCUGCAGCAGCAUAAUGAUCCAAAUCACACCAACAAGUCAACUUCUGAAUGGCUUGAAAAAAAACUAAAUGAAGGUUUUGGAGCGGCCUCGUCAAAGUCCAGACUUGAAUCCGAUUGAAAUGCAGUGGCAUGACCUUCAAAAUGCCGUUCAUGCUGGAAAACCCUCCAUUUGUGCUGAAUUCAAACAAUUGUGCAAGGAAGAGUGGGCCAAAAUAUCUCCACAGAGAUGUGAAAGACUCGUUGUCAGUUCUUGAUUUCAGUUGUUGCGGCUGAGGAUGGCCCAACCAGUUCUUGGGUUUAGGGAGCCAGUACUUUUUCACACAGGGCCAAGGUAACUUGUUUUCUUUCUUUAAUAAAUGAAAUUACCAUUUAAAAACAUUUUAAGUUCACUUGGGUUAUAUUAAUCUGAUAUUUACAUUUGUUGGAUGAUCUUAAACAUUAAUGUGGGAAAACUUGAGGAGGCCCAUGCUUUUCACACGUACUGCUUUUUUAUUUGUAUGUUUUAUUUUUUGCCGCUUGCGCACAGACUUUUGGAACUUUUAAGUGGUGAUGAAGAGCUUAGUUCAACUGGAGAUUAUUGUGUCAGCUUCGGGACAUACCAGGCAUCGCGUGCUCUCGGUAAUUUCCUUUUAGGGUCGCACGGUACCAAGACUGGAACGUAUAAGUGGACCGCGAGGACUCGAGUAGAAGCAUUACUUUUGCUGAGUUAUAGCCCAUUUAAUUACCGAGACGUACCCACCUUUGCCAUAUUGUCUGCAUGUUUACAAUCAUUUUCCGGCGGCGGACUUGAGACAAGGUACGUACCGUGACGUCGCAGUCAAUGUUUACAACUCCUGGGGGAACGCUUCUUCGCUAUCGCUGUGACCACUAAAGUAGCUUAACUACUGAAAAGCUAUUUGAUGUUGAAAGAGUGACGCGACGGAGAAAUGUAGUUACACCAGUAGAGUCGCUACUUUCCACCACUGCUGUGUUUGGUUGUAAACAUAGCGUUACCUGCGGAGCACGGCGCGGGUCCUCUCGCGCUUGUUUUACGAGAUGAAAACCGUAAAGCCUCAGGCCGCCGAUUCCUAGCUUCGCGUUAUCCGGUCCGCAGCCCUACAACCGAUGUAUCGAAGGAUUCCUGGCGGAUUUUGUAUCGAUAACGGAGUCCGCUACCGAUACAGUCCUAUCUCUCGCCUUUACGAACGGAUAUCCGGUCACAUCGGUUUACGGUUCCCAAUCCUUGUCCCGACUCCUCCCUAACCAGGCUCCGGUCCACGAAAGCACGCCCAUAGUCAGCCGGAGGCCCGGCGUAGUUAUCAGUCCAGUCGAGCCCUUCGACGACCUCGGGAAUGUCUCGUUGGCGAAUGGCGGAAAGGGCUCGGCUUUCGAAAUCAGCUACGAACACGAAAGGAAAAGCUUUAGCCAGCACGGUGGCUCCUUCUCGACUUUCUCUAUGCGUCAAAAGCUCCCAGAACGCAGGCAGUGAGAUCUUCAAAGCAAACUGAAAUUACUGUGUUCCAUUUUUGGAAGUGACUCCGCCCCUCUUGCGUGCUUGAAUUGCUUUCAUUCGAUGUGCAAUGUAGGGCUGCUUGUUAGCCAUAACCGUCAGUGUGCUGAUGCGUUGGCGGUUCGUGUCAUCCAUCCCGUGUGUUUGUUUUGUUUGCCAUUCAGGACGUUUUGCCUUUGACACUCACCUGCCUCGGUAAAGGGCACGAGCGGCGACUUUGCCCCGGCUGUCGCUGCCGCUGUCCCGAUCGCAGUGGGCCCGACCGGCAUCACGUGCUCACGUCGCGUCGCUACUUCGCCAAAUGAAUUCAAGUUGUUUCACGUUGUGACUUUGGAAAAUAAACGACGACAGCGUAGCAAAUAAUUUGAAAUGACUUUGUUCAUUUUUCACUUGCAAUUCUAAUUGUCUUUUGGUUUCAAAUCAAACAUGUUUUUGUUUUUGUUUGUCACUCAAAGUAUGCAUCACAACAAGCGCGGAUGUGCGAACCCCGGCAUCGGGAACUAUUGGACUUUUCGAAUCCGGUAGGCAAGCCAUGGAUAAAUCCAAGAAAAGAAAUGUUUCCUAAGAAAACAACGUUCAAUGCUUCGCUCCAUUAACUGUAUUAAAAUCAAACGUCGCUUGCGCCUCACAGAUGACAGCUUUUCCAAUUAUAUGUGUGAAAAUGAAGGUGAGGUCUACAGCCGUGAUGUGCCGACGCUUUACGCUGAGGUUCAGGAGCAAAAUUCUCCUUCUCCAGGUCAAAUUGAAGAAAGUCGGAUUGGCUAGUAUUUCGCUUGUAUGCAGGAUAUUUUACGUUGUCGAGGGAAAUAGUUCUUUUUAUUCCAAGUUGACAGCCGAGUGCGCACUCCACACGCGAUCCAAUGAUGACGGAACACAGACGCAGACGGCCAUUUUGGUUCGGCUUCAAGUUCAUCAAUACGAGGAGGACUCAAAUGGACAUUGGCUUAUUUAUUUGAACUUAAGCUUCGACAAAGCGUCUUUUUUCAGCGUUCAAAUGUUGUUGUUUUUUUUUAACAUGCACAAAUAAAAUGUUGUGUUCCUUGUA